Molecule: long non-coding RNA, 2012 nt
Organism: Onychostoma macrolepis
Lineage: Eukaryota; Metazoa; Chordata; Actinopteri; Cypriniformes; Cyprinidae
Exons: 6
Source: RefSeq, a predicted model, not a curated record
AAAUUUACCGCCUCCACAUUUCAAAUUGCAACGGCUUUUCUAACUGACCUGAGAGAAAAGCUACGAAGGAUUCAACGGAGAAAAUCUGACUCACGGGAUGAACUCAGCUCUUCCCGGUCCAAAACGCUCCAGACACGCUGUCAAAACAAAGCAAUUCUGUGAUACCCCUCUACAGGACUUGGCCCUCACAUCACGUGCUCAGGAUGUUGGAAACAGGGUGGAGGCCCCGUACUGGCAAACUGGUAACUGUCAGGAGGGAAUGCAGCAACAAUCUGUGUCCUGGUGAAACACCUCAUUACUAAAGUGGUUGGCCUCAUUGGCAAAAUACACAAGCCAAAAUCAAAUGCACACCACCUGCAAGACAACAGGAUUUUUGAUUACAAGACCCCAAAAGUAAAUGGACUGAAUUCCAAAGACAAAUUCAUUUGAAUGCUCUAGACGAUAUUGUUUCUGCUAGAAAACUAGCAUUUAUAAUCAGGGUCCUGAAUUAACCCUUUGACAUUUAUUUUUCAUCCCUGAAAUGCUUUCAGGACUUUCUGAACCUUUAUAAUUGCUGGACAAUGUUUUCUGGGUUUCUGGAAUGUUGCAAAGUAUUUUUGAUUCAUUUGAAACUACUGAAUAUCAGCUCUGCAAUCUGCACCCCUCCUACUCUCAGUAUCCAAACAGCAGAGAUGUGACUAAGAUUUCAAAAGACAUUUGGCUGUACUCUUCUCCUACACACACACACACACACACACACACACACACACAGUAUAAUCAAACCAAAGCCUCCUUAUGGAAUUAACAAAGAGUAGACAGACAGGAUUUAGGACUACAUGAGGUGGAUGAUCUGAUAAGACAGUUUGUGUCAUCCAGGUUAUAUCCUGUAAUAUUCCAAAAGCAUAAUAUCAGUGAGAUAAAACACCUUGUAUACCUAAGCUACACAAGCUAUACCAUAUAAGUUUGUAUAGCCUAGUGCCUGAGAGAAAACAUGUACACUGCAGUCUGCAAUGAAAAUUAAUUUGUGCCAGAUUGCAGAGACUGAAUGUAGCUACACAUGUUGUUGUUGUAAAUACCUCAGAUGUGUUCAUAUUCAAGGAAAUGUGUUAAAUGAACUGCAAUGCAUCCAAUUAAAACAGCAUAACUAGGUAGUCAACACACAUAAUGGCAAAAAAGCAACAAACCUUGUCCACAUUUUAACUGGUUGGUCUCCAGUUUGCAGUUCUUCUCUGAUAAGAUGUUAUCUCAGGUACACAUGUGGAAAAUUAAACUAAAUAAGCACACGCACACAGAUUGACUUACACAGGCAGUAAAUGUGAAUAAUGGAAACAUUCUGAGCUGGUACACUGCAACCAAAACUCUGUACACAGGUCUGGAGAAAUCGUCAUCAUCACCGUCUUCAUCACAAGCAAUCAGGCUUCACAGACUCUCCAAAUGGCUAUGAGAUGCCUUGACACGACAUCAACACGUCCGUGCAGCUGUGGUUGUACAGUAAGAUAUCAUCAUUGGUCCUAUUCAAACCGGACAAUGGACUGAGCGUUCGACCACCGUUUCCAGCUGUGUCCGCCAUAAUAUCGAAACAGCAUAUGAGGCGGAGGCUCUGUGCGCAGCCAAUGGCUGUACUGCAGAGGACCAUUGAAGAGAGAGGGAUGAUGGGAAUAGCAUUCCAAAGAAACAUCUGCAAAGCUUCAAGUGUAAAAGUGCUGAAUGACUGCAACAACAAACAACUAUCAUACGCUGAAAGAAAAGAGAGAGAAUUUCCUCUGGAUCGAGUGAACCACCUGUUUCCACAGAAGAUAUUGCAUCACAACACUGCAGAUUGCUGUCUUUGGAACAGGCACAAUUUCAUCUACAGAAGUGUCAUGUGCAGGUGACACUACUACAGUGAAAGCAGCUUGACUGCAUUAGGAAACAUGCUGUGAGGACCAACCAGGGGCAAAAUUUCAUGAAACAUUCUUAAAAAUAAAUUUCCUGCUUAUUUUUAUUACUUAAGAAAACACUUUCUACCACCCAGCAACCAAACCAAACCAAAA